ACCCUGANCAAAACAGACCGCGCACGCGUCAUCCAGCCCGCCGAGCGGUCCGCCGCUCGGCCAAGUCCUCGACAACCUCCUCUCUUCGGAGCGGGGGCUCGGGGUAAAAGAACCCACGGCGCCUUAGGCGUCAAGGAACACUGUGCCUAGCUCGGGAACGCGGCUUGCUUGCUUGCCGCGCCCCGUGCUGCAAUGCUAUUUAAUCCACACGACUCUCGGCAACGGAUAUCUCGGCUCUCGCAUCGAUGAAGAACGUAGCGAAAUGCGAUACCUGGUGUGAAUUGCAGAAUCCCGCGAACCAUCGAGUCUUUGAACGCAAGUUGCGCCCGAGGCCAUCCGGCCGAGGGCACGCCUGCCUGGGCGUCACGCUAAACACGCUCCCACCCCCCCUCAUCGGGGAGCGGGAUGCGGCAUGUGGCCUCCCGUCUCGCAAGGGGCGGUGGGCCGAAGAUAUGGCUGCCGGCGUAUCGUGCCGGACACAGCGCUAGGUGGGCGUUCUCGCUAAGCUUAUCGCAGUGCAUCCGACGCGUAGCCGACACGAUGGCCUUAAAGACCCUUUGAACGGUGCGCAUGACGCUCCGACC
The sequence is a ribosomal RNA, 584 nucleotides long. The stretch from base 211 to 366 matches the Rfam family "5.8S ribosomal RNA".